UACCUCUCAGGCCCAUUCCUGGAGAGUUUUCAGUACUCUACCAGUUUCGGCUACAGGAGGGAGAGUCAAGCAGAGGCAUACCCAUUCCAUUCCUAGCUUGAGCAGUGGCUAGCGAGCAGAAGGUAAACUGCUACAGGU
This is a small nucleolar RNA of Ornithorhynchus anatinus (platypus), 138 nucleotides long. NCBI's taxonomy places the organism in Eukaryota, Metazoa, Chordata, Mammalia, Monotremata, Ornithorhynchidae. The record is from RefSeq and is a predicted model, not a curated record.